AAGUUAAAUUGAAUUUAUUUAAUUAAUAAAAAAAAAUUAGGUGAAAUUUUAUUUUUUUAAAAAUUAAUAUAAAAAAUUAUAUUGAAUCUUCAAAAUUUUAUUUUUAAACUAGGAUUAGAUACCCUAUUAUUUAAUUAUUUAAAAAUAUAAAAGUUAGAGUAGUAAUAGUUAUGGUCUUGAAACUCAAAAAAUUUGGCGGUAUUUUAGUCUAUUCAGAGGAACCUGUAAUAUAAUCGAUAAUCCACGAUGGAUCUUUCUUAAUUUUGUAAUUUAAUUUGUAUAUCGCCGUUAUUUGAAAAUUUUAUAAGAAAAAUAAUUUUCUAAAAUUUUUAUUAAAAAAUAAAUCAGGUCAAGGUGCAGUUUAUAGUUAAGUUUUAUAUGGGUUACAAUAAAAUUAUUUAAACGAAUUAAAAAAUGAAAUAUUUUUAGGAAGGUGGAUUUGAUAGUAAAUUUUUAAAGAUAAAAAAAUUGAUUUUAGCUCUAAAAUAUGUACACAUCGCCCGUCGCUCUUGUUAAUAAUAUA
RNAcentral lists this ribosomal RNA (523 nucleotides) under Campsicnemus digitatus. RNAcentral describes it as "partial 12S ribosomal RNA". Lineage: Eukaryota; Metazoa; Arthropoda; Insecta; Diptera; Dolichopodidae. The record is from RNAcentral.